Molecule: long non-coding RNA, 3120 nt
Filed under: Sus scrofa (pig)
Lineage: Eukaryota; Metazoa; Chordata; Mammalia; Artiodactyla; Suidae
Description: lncRNA (ENSSSCG00015010341.1)
Source: RNAcentral
CCCAGGGCAAGGGGCUGAAUCAGAGCUGCUACUGCCAGCCUACUCCACAGCAACACAGGAUCCGAGCUGAUGUCUGCAACCUAUACUGCAGCUUAUGGCAAUGAGAGAUCCUCAAGCCAUUGAGUGAGACCAGGAAUUGAACCCAUAUCCUCACGGAUACUACUCGAGUUCAUAACCCACUGGGCCACAAUGAGAACUCCCUCAAUACAGUUUUGUGUUAUUAAAAACAAUACCGCAGCACCACGGGGCAGGACGGCUUUCGGCGAUGAAUCAUGUGAUCCCCGUGUGCUAGUUUAUAAAUUGUUAACUGCUUUGGGAUUCACAGGGAUGAAAGAUGCUUUAUUUAUUGUCCUUUGAGAUGAAAGAUGCAUAAUUUAUAACAUAGGAUUACUAUUUUAUUUACUCUUGUGAUGCUGAAAUCACAUUCUUUUCUAGUGAUGGAACUGCAGAAUCCGUUUUAAUUUGGGGGCGAGUAUCUUGUUCAAAGCUUCAGUGUUGGAGGGUCUGGUUACUCAAAUGUGAGUAUUGUAUGAAUGAAACAGUAUGAUCCUUUUGUUGUUACACAAAGGCUUCAUUCUCCUGCUCACAAGUGUUAGUGGGAUGUUAAACGUGUGUGUGUGUGUGUGUGUGAUGUAAAGAUGCUGGCUCUCCUGUGUGUUCAUGCAGGCUUAUGAUGACAUAAUUAUGUAGAUUCUCUUAAUGUAUCUUAUACUAUCAGUUGUAGGCUUUCCAUAGUCUUCUCUUUCAGUGAUCCUAGGACCUACGUAUGGCACUGUUAUGUUUCCAGAUAAUCACUUUCCAGCAUCUAAAAAUAUCAACAGCUUUGUGAUUAGAAAAACGCCAGCUUCUUGAUUGAUAGAACCCUUAGAAUUCUUCACUUUACAACGUUGUAGGGACAGCCAGUUUGCUUGCUUGCAUGAUUUUAACUAAAAGAUGUGGAUCCCUUCUUGGUUCCCAGAUUUGGAGCAAUUGCUUUUAAUUUUAAAAAAUAUUUGUCCCAAGUCACCUCUGCAUCAAAUGGACUGUGGCAAGCCAUGGAUGUGUGUGUGUGGAUAGGGGGAGGGGGACAGGAAUGUUGGAGUUGCUUUGUAUCUGGUUAUUUCACUGGUUCUCUCUUCCUUUUGAGGAACUAAUGUCUUCUACUCAGAAUCUUAGGAUGGAGCAACAGUGGAACUAUGGAAUAUAAGAGAGCAGGGUGUCAAUGGCUAUUAGCUUCUUCUUUUCAAAUUUUUUUUUCAGUUCUUCCAGAGGAAAGGUGCUUGCUUGCCUUUCAGUUGUUGGUCAAAUAGCAAUAGUAGGAAAGGACAGGUAUCCAUAGACAGAUGGUCCCACCCUGUAGGACAGCACUUCACAAAAUAUCCAGCAUGACUUGUUGAGAAAACAUGGGGAAACAGAUGACCCAAACCAGGAUCUUACCUCUUAAAAUGAUCUUACCAGUUUGCUUACAUGUUACAAUUUUAUUAGGAUAUUAAUUUGCUUUCUUAUCUAGACUCAGUUUGGAAUUGCUAAGGAUUAUCUUUUGGAAAUAUGGAAAGUAUUUCUAGAAACUGUAAUUCCCCUGCUCACUAUUCCUAGUGCAGGAAACUGUGACUUUUGUUUUUUUGUUUGUUUUGUCUCUUUAGGGCUGCAUCCAUGGCAUAUGGAAGUUCCCAGAAUAGGGGUCGAAUAGGAGCUGUAGCUGCUAGCCUACACCACAGCUACAGCAACACGGGAUCCGAGCCUCAUCUGCGACCUGCACCAGAGCUCACAGCAAUGCCAGAUCCUUAACCAUUGAGUGAGGCCAGAGAUCAAACCUGUAUCCUCAUGGACACCUGUCAGGUUCGUUAACCACUGAGCCAUGAUGGGGACUCCAGUGAACUGUGACUCUUUAAAGUUGUUCUACUUGACAGUAGAAGCAAAUGAAGGGAAGCUAAGGCCUAACUGUCUUUGUGUGUAUGGAAAACCCUGGCGUAAGAUAAGGAGAACUAGCAAUCAUGUCUCCUUUAAAGACAGAAAUUUCUUCAGCUGAAGUGAGGAAUUAGAAUCUGGUUUCAGAAAGUCCUGUCUGAGUCAGUCCUCUGCAGAUGCUAGGGGGUUUUACAGACCACGUUUCUGUGGAUACCUGUGGCUCCUAUUUCCUGCACUGUUGAGGCUGUAGUUUUUUCAGCAAAGGGCAGAUAGACACCUAUUUAGAAUGACUUAGAGAAAUACAGAAUUGGGGGUAUUCAAACAUGGUAUUCUGCAGAGCAGAAACUAAAUCUGAUUUUCUUUCUAGUCAGUUGGCUGGUACCCAGACAAGGUCCCCAGUUUCUAAGCACCAGCACCAACGUGUUUUCUGUUCAGCAAACUCUGGAUUGCUUCUCAGAAACAAGAAAACAAGCUAAAGAUUAUGGGGGCAUCUUCCAGUUCUUGAUGACUGAAACUGAAAAGAAAGUCUAUCUUUUUUUUUUUUUUUUGUCUUUUUGUCUUUUCUAGGGCCAUACCCACAGCAUAUGGAGGUUCCCAGGCUAGGGGUUGAAUCGGAGCUGAGGACGCCGACCUACGCCAGGCCCACAGCAACAUAGGAUCUGAGCCCCGUCUGCGACCUACACCACAGCUCACAGCAACGCUGGGUCCUUAACCCACUGAGUGAGGCCAGGGAUCGAACCCGCAACCUCAUGAUUCCUAGUCGGAUUCGUUAAUCACUGAGCCAUGACAGGAAUUCCUUUUUUUUUUUUUUUUAAGGAAGUCUGUCUUUACAGAGCUUGAAAUCAUAUUUAGUGUAUCAAAAUGGAAAUUACAUUUAUAUUCAAAAUGCAAAUAGCAUAAAUUUUUUAUGUUUUUUCUCAUGAGUUUUUUUUUUUUUUAAUUUACCUAGUAAUGUGUGGUUACCUUUGCUUUCCCCUCCUUUUCAUUAUUAUGAGUAUUUUUUUUUUUUGCGUUAAAUUUGCCUCUGGAGUAUAAAGCAGAAGUGUUUGCUUGUUGCUUUGGAAACUUUCUGUGGUUGUUCAGAAUGGCACCAAGUCACUGCCAGGUUAAUAGAGCUGCUUUAAAUAUAACCAUAUUUUAUUAAAGCUAUGACAAAUACAUUGGGGUUUUAUCACUUGUGAUGAAUGUUUCAUUUCAUUGAGAUCAAUUCUAAUUCUGGAAAUUAAAUGUUCA